UAGGGUUCGAUCAUGGCUCAGGAUGAACGCUGGCGGUAUGCCUAACACAUGCAAGUCGUACGAGAGUUUUUAACUCAAGCGUCGGGCGGGUGAGUAACACGUGAGAAUUUGCCUUUAGGAGGGGGAUAACAGAGUGAAAACGCUGCUAAUACCCCAUUUGCUUUCGAGUGAAAUGGAUUUAUUCGCCUAAAGAGAAGCUCGCGGCUGAUUAGCUUGUUGGUAAGGUAAUGGCUUACCAAGGCGACGAUCAGUAUCUGGUUUUGAGGGAGGAUCAGACACACUGGAACUGAGACACGGUCCAGACUCCUACGGGAGGCAGCAGUGGGGAAUUUUCCGCAAUGGGCGAAAGCCUGACGGAGCAAUUCCGCGUGAGGGAUGACUGCCUAUGGGUUGUAAACAUCUUUUCUCAGGGAGGAAAUCAAUGACGUUACCUGAGGAAUAAGCAUCGGCUAACUCCGUGCCAGCCGCCGCGGUAAUACA
This 480-nucleotide ribosomal RNA is filed under the name uncultured cyanobacterium. RNAcentral describes it as "bacterial SSU rRNA". It matches the Rfam family "Bacterial small subunit ribosomal RNA", at positions 1 to 527 of the family's 1533-position model. The record is from RNAcentral. Lineage: Bacteria; Bacillati; Cyanobacteriota.